Molecule: long non-coding RNA, 4826 nt
Filed under: Setaria italica (foxtail millet)
Lineage: Eukaryota; Viridiplantae; Streptophyta; Magnoliopsida; Poales; Poaceae
Description: long non-coding RNA (SITA_LNC004210)
Source: RNAcentral
GGAACUCUAAUUUUUUUCACACAACUAUACCCCCAAUUAUUUGAUUUGAAUACUACACACCAUUUAGUGAUUUUAAAUAUUUUUACCAAAUUUUUCAGAGAUGUUUGGAUGGGUUAAAAAUUCAUUUAAAAUUCAAUUUUAGCUGUUUUGUUUUGGCGAUUUUGUGCAAACUAUAAUAGCUUUUGAGUUGAUUCUUGUGGAAAUCUAUUCUUGGUGAUUUUAUCUUUCCAACGAGUAUUUUUGGAGAAUUUUUGGACACCAGUAGCUAGGUCUUUUAAGGAGACAAAGUUGGCACGAUGUUUUUCUUGGCCGGGCCCACUCGUGAGGCCACCUUCUCCUUCCUCACGUCACCAAGAAGCAUGCCGUUGGCCUGCAGGGGCUGAGCUCCACCUGGCCGGCACCCAUGGGAGCUUCCCUCCCCGCCAAUCCGCGCGCCCCAUGGUGAGUCACUCCGACCGUCCUUAUCCUCGCCAUCCUCCUCCUAUUUAAGGACCGGUUCCCCUCUCCUCCAAUCCUCCCUGUAAAGACUGCAAAGCUCCAUUGUUUCCCCAAGUUUCGCUGCCCAAAUUCAUCGCCGUGGUGAGCUCUCGGCUCGAUUCCUCGCGGCGAUAGCAUCCCCAAGCCGUCGCGCCUCCGUUUUGCCCCUUCCCGAGCUCCCUCCCUCGCCGGGCAACCCUCUCCGCAGGAGCCCCCAUCCGCCCCUUCCUGCGCCACGGAAACUCCCUGCACCACCCCUUCUUCCUCGUCGCCACGCCACUGGUGAGCACCUCCUUGGCCCUAUGCGCCGCCCCUCUCCCUCCCCUAGCAACACCCCUUCCUUUCCUCCUGUUCUCGGGCGGCCCAAGCCAUGCGUGCUGAAUCUUUGCCUGUCUGCGUGUGUGCCUGUUUAAGUGCAUGGGGGACUGAUUUGGAGAAGAAGGAGAAAGGUUAGGGGGUUAUGGGUGAAAUCCAGGGACUUUUGCACCAUUAACCCAUAGAUCCAAGGGCUAGAUUGCAAGAUUGCCUCGGUUUUCUUUAUUUCCUAGAUCUAAAAAAGCUGCAACUUUGGAAAUUCAUAGUAAAUUGUAGAAAAAUUUUAAAAUGGCAAAUGAAGAUGUUUUGGAAUUCUUGUGAGAAGAACUAUGUAGUAGUUAUAUAAUAUGAUAUGUGUUAGUAGAAAGUUUCUGAUGUUUUUAUUUAUCCAUGCAAAGUACUUUUAGAAAUCCUUUUAAGUUGGUUAGAUGCAUAUCUUGAGUUAUAUAAGUCCAAAGAUUUUGAUUCUAGUUAUAUUAGUCUCGUGAUGACACUCUCUAGCUAAGAAAAAUAUUAAACAUGCUAGUGGUGUGCGGUUUUUAUCAUGUUUUGAUUUAAUGGGCAAUUUUUGCUUAUUUUGCUUGUCAUUUUCAUAUCUAAAUUUGUGGUGCUCCAAUUUCUGUGAAAUUUUUAUGGGAGGCUACUGAUGCUAUAUGUGUGAUAUGGUAAAAAGUUCAUAUUCAUUAGAUGUAGUAUGAUUGACUUAUUGAUUUAACUUGUUUAUUGCUUGAUAAAUGGUUUUAAAUAAGUUAUAAUUUUUAUGUAGGUGUAAAAUUGAAAAAUAUGGUUCCACUACCUUUGUAUGAUGUUGUUCUACCAUAAUAACAUAUAAUAUGGCUAUGUGUUUAUAAAAAAUGAUGAUCUUCAGAAUUAUCUUGCUUUUGCAUGUUUUCUUGCAAUUGUAAUUUAUCUUUUUCAUAGCAAUUAAAUUAUAAAAUCUGAGCAUGUGAAAUUGGUACGGUAGCCAUGUUUUGAUAACAUCUACCACUCAUAAAAAUCUCAGCCCCAAACUAGUUGUUCUCAUAUGGCACUACAAUAUAUAUAUAUAUAUAUAUAUAUAUAGAAGUUAAUGAAAGUUAAUAACAAAUAGGCAUAUGCUAAAGCCAUGAGAUGCUACUUUAAUUACACCAACUUUGUGAAAUGUAGUUGAUCUAUAUGGAUGUUUGUUUGAGCCCUUGAAUGAUAUGUAUGAAAUCUCUGUUGGGAGAAACACGUCAAAACCAACACUAUGCUACCUUCUGAAAUUUAGCUGCAUGUGUACUUUUGUGGUGUCAUGUUUUCAUGAUGAAAAUGAUGUUUUAUAUAAAUUUGGUGAAUACAAAAGUUUUAGGUAACUUUAUAAUAUAGCUUGUGUUAAAUUUUCAUGACCAUAAGCCUGAUGGUUAGAAGCUAUAGAUUUUACAAGUUCAUUGUCAGGUUUUGCGUGCUCUCUGUACAGGUUUAAAUGAUUGUGUCGUUUGACUUAGCUAAUCUUUGAAUCAUAUCUUUGUGAUAUUAGAAGAAGUGUAGGGAGUUUUAUGAGAUUUUCAAAUUUUUAAAGAUCACCCCUUUUGGUGGUCUAAAUCUCCAGUUAUGGUCUUGUGAAGUGGAAUGACAGAAUCUGUCCUAAUCUGGAUAGAGAUAUCUUAUUUGUGAUGUUUGACCUGGUUAACUUUGUAUUUAGCUUGUGGUGUUUAUAACAAAGUUAUGAAUAAUUUUAUAAUCUUUCUAAAAAGUAUAGAACCACCUUGUUGUGAAAGCUAUAACUCCAGAUAUGGCUGUCUAAAGUUUAAUGUCAAAAUCUGUCCAAGUUUGGACAUAUUUGCUUCUUUGUGUUGUAUAGUCUUGUUAACUGUUGAAUCAUCUUGAGAUGACAAUAAUAAAGUUAUAUAUAACUUAAUAAGGUUUUUACCAAGUUAAUAAUCAUGGUUGUUGGAGGUCUAGAACUCCAGAUAUGCAUCUCUGAAGUUCAUGUUAGUUUUCUAUCCUUGUUUGUACCGAUCUGCUUAUUGGUGUGCUUUCACCUCGUUAUUUGUUGAAUCAGCUUUUGGUGUGAAUAACAAAGUUUUAGAUAAUUUUAUUAACUUUACAGAAAGUCUAGGGUCAUCCUUGUUGGAUGCUUAUAUCUCAGGUUGUGGUUAAAACAAGUGACUACUGUGCUGCUGUCCAGAUUCGGUGUAUGUGCUUAAGUUAUUAGCUUUGACUUGAUGUUGCCUCGUGUGCUGGCUAGUUAGCUCAUAACACUAUUAGAAUUAUAUUGAUCUACCUAAGGAUCUUAUAAAUGUGUUAUAUAAUGUUGGUCAAGCACUUAACUAAUAAAUGGUCAUGUAUACAUGUUGCUACAAAAUAACUUUGUUGCAUAGCUUACUAGAACCUUAGUGAUGUUGGUGUGUGACUUACUUGUGCAUGAGUGGUUUAAAAAUAAAUGUAAUAUACUUUGAUCACCUUCAACUUGCUAGUUGUGUGAUGCACUUAUGUAGGCCAUAUUGAUAAGCACCAUCACCCCUAGUUCUUAUAUGAUGCUAUGCUUAAUUAGCUCUUGAUUGUUAAAUGCUUGCAAUAGCUUAACUUGAGUUAACUAGUGUGCCAUGCUUGUUAUGCUUGCUAUCUCUAUGGUAGACUUGAGUGAUAGUUAGUUAAAUAACUUGCUCUCUCAGUGCUCAUGUCUUGUGGUGUAACCUUUUUUAUGUAAUGCAUCUCAUAUUACCGUUCUUCAUAUUCAUGCACUUGCAUCUUGCAUCUCAUCUAGAUACGCUAGAUAAACCUCGUUAAGGACGUGAUGAUGGAACCGAACCCGAAGACGGCGUAUGGUGGACCUAUCCCGAAGAUGGAAGGACUAAGCAAGUGCCGAGAUGGGAGAUGCUCGCCAAGCGAGUGUCGUCUAACAAACACUAACCUAAUGUUGGAUUCUAGGCAAGCCCCGGAGCAUAUCCCGAUUUUCUAAACUUCUGCAAUGAAUUAUGUUGAUUAUGAUUGUGCAUUUAAGUUACUAGGCGUUAUCUGAAACCUUGGAUGCAUGAACUUAGUACCCUUUUAAUCUGAACACUAGCAUGAUAAGUCGCGUAGAUGCAAUGCUUAAUAGGAGACGGUAAAAGUUGAGUGAUUUCCUGUCACUCGUGAGUUAUAGGAGUUGUUUGUUUACUUAUGUUACAACCAUAAGGAUGAAGGGCGGGGUAGGACCUUGUGAAUUGUUUUGGUGGUCGGUGGAUUGCCCCGUUUAUCUAAAUGAAAAUGGACUAAGGUCAAAACGUGUUGGUGUUCGUGAUCAAGUGUUUGAAAGUACUAAUCUCAUACCUAGUAUGGGAUGGGGAAGUCUAGUACCUGAUUGAACCAGGACGUGAGCAAUUCGUUCCACUAUCUUUGGAACGGAGUUCCCCUGCGGUCGCAUGUGGUGACAAGUGCAGUCACGGUACGGCAGAGGUCGGGACCGUGGGGCCUUGUACCAAGGGAAGUGGACCUGACACGUAGCUGGGGAUUGAUGGGGACGGCUGACAAAUGAACCGACCCAUCGUGGUGCGCGGAUGUCGCGGAUGUUGUGAGGUUAGGUUCGCCAUGCAUGGUUUAAAAACUCGAUUCGAAUCAUGUGCCUCUCACAGUUUGGGACUGCUUGAUCGCUAUGCUACACUGAGUAAGAAGUGGAACAAAGGAUGAUGAAUAAUAUUGAUGCUUGAUUCAACUUCUUGUUCACAUGCUUGCUUAGAAUUGGUGCUUACCUAGAAUGGUUAAUCAACUAGAACCUGAUGCUAAAACUUGAAAGUAAAGACCUACUUUAGAUGCUUUUGGCAAAACGAAUCCCUUAGCCAAAAAGCCUUGCAUGUCUAGGAGUUGGUGGAGUAGUUACCACCUGACGGGUAAGCCUUGUUGAGUAUUAGUAUACUCAGCCUUUCUUGUGGCUAUCUUUUUCAGGUUUGGUUGCUGGUGUUGACUUGUUUGAGACCCAUCCUCGGUCGGCGAGGAUCAUGGUGUUUGAUAUCAUGGCAGGCUUCACCGUGGUAUUGUUGUAUCGACGUUUAGCUUCCGCUUGAAUUUUAUCUUCCGCUGUUGAACACUUUGCA